This 798-nucleotide ribosomal RNA is filed under the name uncultured bacterium. RNAcentral's name for it is "bacterial SSU rRNA". It matches the Rfam family "Bacterial small subunit ribosomal RNA", at positions 1 to 764 of the family's 1533-position model. The record is from RNAcentral.
UUUGGUUACAAUCCCCUUGAGUUGAUCAUGGCUCAAACGAACGCUGGCGGCGUGGAUAAGACAUGCAAGUCGAACGGGAUCUGUUUUGUACAAUACAGGGCGGGUCCAGUGGCGUAAGGGUGCGUAACACGUGGGCAAUCUGCCGAGAAGUGGGGGAUAGCUCGCCGAAAGGCGAAUUAAUACCGCAUACGGUUAAGGGGGACAUCCCCCUGACACCAAAGCCGGUCGUGGCAACACGGCUGGCGCUUUUUGAUGAGCCCGCGGCCUAUCAGCUUGUUGGCGGGGUAAAAGCCCACCAAGGCUAUGACGGGUAGCUGGUCUGAGAGGACGACCAGCCACACUGGAACUGAGACACGGUCCAGACACCUACGGGUGGCAGCAGUCGAGAAUUUUUCUCAAUGGGGGAAACCCUGAAGGAGCGACGCCGCGUGGAGGAUGAAGGUCUUCGGAUUGUAAACUCCUGUCAUUUGAGAACAAUGUGCAUGAAUUAACUGUUUAUGCAUUGAUAGUAUCAGAAGAGGAAGAGACGGCUAACUCUGUGCCAGCAGCCGCGGUAAUACAGAGGUCUCGAGCGUUGUUCGGAUUCAUUGGGCGUAAAGGGUGCGUAGGUGGUCUGGUAAGUCGGAUGUGAAAUCCCGGGGCUCAACCCCGGAACUGCAUUCGAUACUGCCGGGCUGGAGUACUGGAGAGGAGAUCGGAAUUUACGGUGUAGCAGUGAAAUGCGUAGAUAUCGUAAGGAAGACCAGUGGCGAAGGCGGAUCUCUGGACAGUUACUGACACUGAGGCACGAAGGCCAGG